CCUACGGGAGGCAGCAGUAGGGAAUAUUGCUCAAUGGGGGAAACCCUGAAGCAGCAACGCCGCGUGGAGGAUGAAGGUUUUAGGAUUGUAAACCCCUUUUGUUAGAGAAGAUUAUGACGGUAUCUAACGAAUAAGCACCGGCUAACUCCGUCCCAGCAGCCGCGGUAAUACGGAGGGGGCCAGCGUUACUCGGAAUUACUGGGCGUAAAGAGGGCGUAAGCGGGGAAGUAAGUCAGAUGUGAAAUCCUGUGGCUUAACUACAGAACUGCUUUUGAAACUGUUACUCUGGAGUGUGGGAGAGGUAAGUGGAAUUCUGAGUGUAGGGGUGAAAUCCGUAGAGAUCAAGAGGAAAACUAGUUGCGAAGGCGACCUGCUGGAACAUAACUGACGCUGAUGCGCGAAAGCGUGGGGAGCAAACAGGAUUAGAUACCCGAGUAGUC
RNAcentral lists this ribosomal RNA (440 nucleotides) under uncultured bacterium. RNAcentral describes it as "partial 16S ribosomal RNA". It matches the Rfam family "Bacterial small subunit ribosomal RNA", at positions 338 to 795 of the family's 1533-position model. The record is from RNAcentral.